AAGCGGCUGGUGAGAUAGAGUAUGUUGAAGGUGAUGAUAUCGAGAUGGGUGACAUGGACGAUAUGGAAGAUUUUGAAGGCUUUGGUGAUGAAGAUGAUGAUGGAGAUGAAGAUGAUGAUUUGGAUGAGCCAGCAACAAAGAAGCCCAAGUUACCAGGCUCCGAUUCAAGGUCAAAGAUUGGGCGCAAGUCUACGAAGGUUAUCACAGAGGUGGAAGAAGACGAGGACAGGGGUAGCAGGCAAAGGACGCGGAUGUGAUUCACCGGGCGCGGCUUCAGUAACGUGCUCGGCGUUGAUGAUAUGG
This is a long non-coding RNA of Triticum dicoccoides, 303 nucleotides long. RefSeq lists it as uncharacterized. The transcript has 3 exons. NCBI's taxonomy places the organism in Eukaryota, Viridiplantae, Streptophyta, Magnoliopsida, Poales, Poaceae. The record is from RefSeq and is a predicted model, not a curated record.